GCCCCCAUAGCCCAACUGGCAGAGGCAGCGGACUUAAAAUCCGCGCAGUCUGGGUUCGAACCCCAGUGGGGGCACUA
RNAcentral lists this transfer RNA (77 nucleotides) under Corynebacterium humireducens NBRC 106098 = DSM 45392. RNAcentral describes it as "tRNA-Leu". It matches the Rfam family "tRNA". Rfam says of the family: Transfer RNA (tRNA) molecules are approximately 80 nucleotides in length. Their secondary structure includes four short double-helical elements and three loops (D, anti-codon, and T loops). The record is from RNAcentral. Lineage: Bacteria; Bacillati; Actinomycetota; Actinomycetes; Mycobacteriales; Corynebacteriaceae.